Molecule: ribosomal RNA, 462 nt
Filed under: uncultured bacterium
Lineage: Bacteria
Description: bacterial SSU rRNA
Rfam family: Bacterial small subunit ribosomal RNA
Source: RNAcentral
GACGAACGCUGGCGGCGCGCCUAACACAUGCAAGUCGAACGAGUGGAGGACCUUCGGGUUCGAAGCUAGUGGCGGACGGGUGAGUAACACGUGAGGAACCUGCCUUUCAGAGUGGGAUACCGUUUGGAAACGAACGUUAAUACCGCAUAACGUACGGAUGCCGCAUGACAACCGUACCAAAGAUUUAUCGCUGAGAGAUGGCCUCGCGUCUGAUUAGAUAGUUGGUGAGGUAACGGCCCACCAAGUCUACGAUCAGUAGCCGGACUGAGAGGUUGAUCGGCCACAUUGGGACUGAGACACGGCCCAGACUCCUACGGGAGGCAGCAGUGGGGGAUAUUGCACAAUGGGCGAAAGCCUGAUGCAGCGACGCCGCGUGAGGGAAGACGGUUUUCGGAUUGUAAACCUCUGUCUUCGGGGGCGAAAAUGACGGUACCCGAGGAGGAAGCCACGGCUAACUACGUG